AUACUGAUAUUUUAAAUCAGUAACUCGCAAGUGAUCUCAAUCGAUAAGUUUUCGCUAUCGCUUUAAUGUGGGAACAUAUGUACAUUGUAUAUUCUAUAAUGAAAGUAAAGAACAUAAAAAAUCAAACUUCGUAUAUUUGUGGCAAUCGUUCGAAGAAAUGUUCAAUUUUAAGACUUUUGAUAUGCCCUUUGAAAUCACUUCCCUAGUGUUUAGAAAUGUGUAGUAUUUACACGAAUCAGGUGAAACAUAUCUCUUCUAAACCGAUGACUAAAACAUACAAAUAGCGUCCACCAGGAUGAUUACUAGCCGAGAGUACUAUUAAUGCGAGUUGUUUUGUUUAUUCCACUUUAAGAUUCCUGUAGUGGUAUAAAGUAAGUGCCGGCCCUUCUCCAUCUGUAAGUAAGUGUUACAAUUUUUGGCAUCGGGUGAGUAUGUAAGUAUGUACAUAAAUGCAUGUGCUUCACACUUGCGACUAUGUACAUAGGUGCACAUGUACAUAUAUUAACAAUAAGCUUUGAGUGGAAUAUUCACCUAAUAUAAUUUAUGUGUAUGCAUUGGUUUUUUCUUGAAUGUUCGACAUAUUCACAAAUUUGCUUUACACAUUUGCUUAAAGAAAUUAAGUAAAUAAAUAAAUUAUUAAUAAAUUAGUGUAAUAUUUCAAGAAGACCGAUGUCCAUCAGAGGUUUGAUAAGCCUCGCCAGGAGCAUUGUCAAAGUCACCUGGGGAUGUACCAAACAAGUGUGUAAAAAGUUUUUUGACAAACUGUACAUACUGUCAGUAUCGAAGGAACGCGGUGUCAUUUGGUGACUAUCCAGGUGAGUACAACCCCAAGGUGCACGGGCCCUAAGACCCCGCUCGCUUCUACGGUAAAGCCUGGCUGGGACGCCGCAACAAGACGCCCAACGCUGUGGCCGGAGCCGUGAACCGUGCAUGCUGGCGCUGGCAGUACAACUACGUGUUCCCGAAGCGCGCCGUGAUCGCUCCCUUCUUCCAGCUGACCGUCGCCAGCAUGACGUUCUUCUGUCUGAUUAACUACACCAAGUUGAAGCACCACAGGAACUACAAUACCACUAAGGGUCGCUGCCCAGUGGUCCUGCAUCUACAACAGAUUCUACACUUUCCACAAGACGUGCCAGAGGCGGGCAGCACUAAACUAUAUCUAUUUGGCUUUUGUGUUUUGAAAACUGCUAAAGUGAAUAAAAUGGCUGUGAAUAUCCAUGCUGCCAUAGACUCAG
Non-coding RNA from Drosophila melanogaster (fruit fly), 1235 nucleotides. The record is from Ensembl. Lineage: Eukaryota; Metazoa; Arthropoda; Insecta; Diptera; Drosophilidae.